RNAcentral lists this ribosomal RNA (465 nucleotides) under Vreelandella stevensii. RNAcentral's name for it is "partial 16S ribosomal RNA". It matches the Rfam family "Bacterial small subunit ribosomal RNA", at positions 338 to 795 of the family's 1533-position model. The record is from RNAcentral. Lineage: Bacteria; Pseudomonadati; Pseudomonadota; Gammaproteobacteria; Oceanospirillales; Halomonadaceae.
CCUACGGGGGGCAGCAGUGGGGAAUAUUGGACAAUGGGGGGAACCCUGAUCCAGCCAUGCCGCGUGUGUGAAGAAGGCCCUCGGGUCGUAAAGCACUUUCAGUGAGGAAGAACGCCUGGUGGUUAAUACCCAUCAGGAAAGACAUCACUCACAGAAGAAGCACCGGCUAACUCCGUGCCAGCAGCCGCGGUAAUACGGAGGGUGCGAGCGUUAAUCGGAAUUACUGGGCGUAAAGCGCGCGUAGGUGGCUUGAUAAGCCGGUUGUGAAAGCCCCGGGCUCAACCUGGGAACGGCAUCCGGAACUGUCAAGCUAGAGUGCAGGAGAGGAAGGUAGAAUUCCCGGUGUAGCGGUGAAAUGCGUAGAGAUCGGGAGGAAUACCAGUGGCGAAGGCGGCCUUCUGGACUGAAACUGACACUGAGGUGCGAAAGCGUGGGUAGCAAACAGGAUUAGAUACCCCGGUAGUC